GAUGAACGCUGGCGGCGUGCCUAAUACAUGCAAGUCGAGCGAACAGACGAGGAGCUUGCUCCUCUGACGUUAGCGGCGGACGGGUGAGUAACACGUGGAUAACCUACCUAUAAGACUGGGAUAACUUCGGGAAACCGGAGCUAAUACCGGAUAAUAUAUUGAACCGCAUGGUUCAAUAGUGAAAGACGGUUUUGCUGUAACUUCUAGAUGGAUCCGCGCCGCAUUAGCUAGUUGGUAAGGUAACGGCUUACCAAGGCAACGAUGCGUAGCCGACCUGAGAGGGUGAUCGGCCACACUGGAACUGAGACACGGUCCAGACUCCUACGGGAGGCAGCAGUAGGGAAUCUUCCGCAAUGGGCGAAAGCUUGACGGAGCAACGCCGCGUGAGUGAUGAAGGUCUUCGGAUCGUAAAACUCUGUUAUUAGGGAAGAACAAAUGUGUAAGUAACUAUGCACGUCUUGACGGUACCUAAUCAGAAAGCCACGGCUAACUACGUG
Molecule: ribosomal RNA, 497 nt
Filed under: uncultured bacterium
Lineage: Bacteria
Description: partial 16S ribosomal RNA
Rfam family: Bacterial small subunit ribosomal RNA
Source: RNAcentral